UUACGAAAGCAAUUAUAGGUAGAUUUUAGGAGAAGGAACUUUUUGUUUAUGUAAUAUUUGAAAUAAUAGAUUUAAUUAUAGAUAAUUUGUACAGUGAUGGAAUUUUUAUGUUAAAGAAAGAAGACUUUAUUUGUUGUACCUUUUGUAUCAGGGUUUAUCAAAAUUAGUUUUGAAGUUAAAUUUUCUCGAAUUUUGGAGGGCUAAAAGUUAAUAUAUUUUAAUGUGGAAUAAUUAUUUAUAAUUAAUUUUUUGGAAUUAUAUGUUAGUCGUUCUUUAUUAUAUCUAGUUUCUUGAGAAAUUAAUUUAAUUAACUGGGGCAGGGUGGAUUUUAUUAGUAAAUACAAAUCCCUGUAUUUGGAAUACCUAGAGGGAAAAGCUUUUAGGUAAAUUUUUAUAAUAAUUUAGGUUUUAAUAAUUUAUAGGAUUAGAAGUUUCCAUUUUUAGUGUGUUUUUACUAAAUUUUAAAAAUGAUUAAUUUUUGUUUAUUUAAAUUUUUUAUUGAGAUAAUAGCCUUAAUGUUCAGGUUUUGUAAUAAUGAUUAAAUUAGUAGAAUUUAGUGUAAGGCAUAAUACCUAAUUAAAAAUUAUAUUAAGGAAUUAGGCAAUUUUUUUUUCCGCCUGUUUAAUAAAAACAUGGCUUUUUGUUGUUGAUAUAAGGUCAGGCCUGCCCAAUGAUAAUUUAAAUGGCUGCGGUAUUUUGACCGUGCAAAGGUAGCAUAAUCAUUAGUUUUUUAAUUGGAAGCUGGAAUGAAGGGUUUAACGAGAAAAGAACUGUCUUAAUUUAAUUUUUUGAAUUUUAUUUUUGAGUGAGAAGGCUUAAAUGAUUUUGAGGGACGAGAAGACCCUAUAGAAUUUUAUAGUUCUGAUAUUUUGGGGGUGUGGUUUAGGAUUCCCAAUUUAGCUAUGGAUUAGUUUGUUGGGGUGAUGGAAAAAUUUGAACAACUUUUUUUUUAUGGGUUUCACUGAUAAGUGAAUGUUUGAUCCAUUAAGAUUGAUUAUAAGAAAAAAUUACCUUAGGGAUAACAGCGUAAUUAAUCUGGAGAGUCCAAAUCGAUAGAUUAGUUUGCGACCUCGAUGUUGGAUUAAAAUUGGCUUUUGGUGAAGGGAUUAAUAAGCUAAGUCUGUUCGACUUUUAAAAUUUUACAUGAUCUGAGUUUAAACCGGCGUGAGCCAGGUUGGUUUCUAUCUUCAAGUAAUUUAAAUUUUUUAGUACGAAAGGACCAAGAAUUUUCUAUAUUAGGUUUUUGUUGAGUGUAAUU
This 1258-nucleotide ribosomal RNA is filed under the name Lucanus mazama (cottonwood stag beetle). RNAcentral's name for it is "large subunit ribosomal RNA". The stretch from base 522 to 1258 matches the Rfam family "Archaeal large subunit ribosomal RNA", at positions 1423 to 2803 of the family's 2987-position model. The record is from RNAcentral. Lineage: Eukaryota; Metazoa; Arthropoda; Insecta; Coleoptera; Lucanidae.